This is a long non-coding RNA of Cucurbita pepo subsp. pepo (vegetable marrow), 317 nucleotides long. RefSeq lists it as uncharacterized. The record is from RefSeq and is a predicted model, not a curated record. NCBI's taxonomy places the organism in Eukaryota, Viridiplantae, Streptophyta, Magnoliopsida, Cucurbitales, Cucurbitaceae.
ACGAAGUAAACAUACAGAUAUCAACUUUAAAAUGGCGUAUGUACUAAAAUCAUGGCCAGAACUAAAUCUCAUGCAAGCUAGCACUGUAGAAAAUAUUAUAAAGAGGCAACAUCCUGAGUUUCAGAUAGUGAUAUUGUUAGCAGGAAGUCCAGUGACCAAAGAUCUUAAACAUGGACGAGUUCGACUGUUUAUAAAUAUAGCCGGUUUUGUGGUUCAAAUUCCUCACGAGGGCUAAAAUGUCUUAAAUAUAUAUGUUUGAGAUAAUGCAUAAAUAAAGAAUAAUAUUUCCGCUACUAAACAUAUUUGUAGCUUGAGCA